This 2131-nucleotide long non-coding RNA is filed under the name Volvox carteri. RNAcentral's name for it is "long non-coding RNA (VCAR_LNC001232)". The record is from RNAcentral. Lineage: Eukaryota; Viridiplantae; Chlorophyta; Chlorophyceae; Chlamydomonadales; Volvocaceae.
GGAUUGCAAAUGACCUGAAUCAAAUAAGGUAGAUCAGAGCUCCCAAGCAACUCCGCGUCCCUCCCCCUUCCCCCAGCCGUACGAACCGCGGCCGUCCCUCUUCCUUUUUUUUACCCGUGCUGCGACCCUCUACCUUCCUCAUCCGUCGACGUGUUAAUAUAUAUCCCACCGGUAUGAGUACUAUACGCACGAAGUGGACCUCAGGCCUCCGAAUCGGACGACCAUGCCCAUGCCUCGCAGGAAGUGGACUGCAAACGCCGCACAGCCUGACGACAGAGCUCCCAGGCACACAAGCACCAGCGCUGCCAGAGCCCAUCUAUCAAAACGCAUGAUACGGGCUUUCGACCGGCUGAAAUGAUGCAAAUCAUCACGCUUUGGCGCCCCUGUCGCACGUUCUUUUCGUCAGCAUCACGCCGCGCGUCGCCACGUCAAGCAGUAGCCAACCCAACCCAACCCAGGCCAACUACGCGGCGAGACGGGUAAAAAAGAAGGAGCGUCCUGCUUUGGCGGCACAUGGCCUAACGGAAUCCCAAAACCCGUUUUACAGGUCGGUACUCCAACUCAUACCAGCGAACUUGCCAACCGCUUCUAAGCUAACGCGCCCCGGGCACGCUCGCGAACCAGCGGAUGGCCAUUUGGAUGAAUCGCUCCAGCGCCGGGACCUGACGCCUGUACGGCAACGUGAGGUCAUUAAUCUUCCGCCAAACCUGCAAAGCAGGGUCAGCAGCCCCGUGAUACGGGUUUGCGAAGGCGGGGCGGAGGAGUCAGUGGAGUCAGUAGAAAUCGGUCAAGGCAGGCCAUGAGGCAACGCGCCCAUGAAGACCUGAGGCAGUGAUGGCGAAACGGCCAAUCGUGAUGGGCCAAAAUGGCUUGUUCCCCUUUAGGGGAUGGGAUGGGGAACAAGUUGCAGUGUAGCUCGCGCUAGUAAGCUCAGAAGUCGUGGAGACGAUUCGACAUGUGUGUGUGUGUGUGUGUUACAUGGUUGGGGGUGCGUGACCCCAUACCUGUAAGACUACCCAUAAGAGCCGAAGGCCCAAGGCCCUUGGGCCAAGGGCAAUACUACAACCCCUAAAAGCCACGAUUCGACAUGCGCCGGGAAGGAUGCCCGUCUCCACAAUAUACACGAACGAACACAUAGCCCUGCGGUGCCCUACAUCCCAUAUUUACGAAGCUUAAUUACUAAGUCGAAACUUUAAACUCUUUCUUUUUUCAAAUGAUCUCCCCAGAGAACCCUAGCCCGCAAUAGAGGGCCUCGCGUUUCCCAUGCCUGGCUCUCGGCCGGCUAUUAUUGACGUCAUCGGCAAGCCAGACGGUCUCCAGUGUCAAUGAUAUUCCAGCACAACUCUUGCUCCUCUAUUUCACACAGCUCUGGAACCCUGAUGCCAUACCCCGAUGAUGCCAUUGCCUACCUGUCUGUUUGUCUAUAUGCCAUACAAUGACAGUAAGUCUGUUUAUGUAUCUGUCUUACGGAUAUCCAAGUAAAGCCAGGAACAGGAAGGAGUCGGAGACACAUCCCCAAACCCCGCAACUCCUCCUCCCGCCGCCUUUCCCCUUUUCCCACCUGCCGAUGUUGCGGUGCGCUGUCCGGCACGUGCAGCUUGAGCUUCAGAAUCUGUCCGUAAAACACCAGAGUGAGGAGGCUGCGAGCUGGUGUAAGCAGCUGCAGCACCAACAAGGCCGCGGUACCGAUCUCACAAAAGGCGUUGAGCAGCAGCGCGUCGGCCUGGCGAAGGAGGGAGGGGUUGCGUGGGAUUACAUAAAGUCCCUGCAGUAACCCCCUAGGCACACGUACACACACACACACACACACCACGCCACACACACACGCACACACACCAUUUCCGCCUGCGCGCUUAAAUCACAGCCUGGCCCGGUCCUCAGUCCGCCUGCCUCCCUCAUCCCUGACUUCUCCUUCUUUUUUUGACGCCUUCAGGCAGCAGGUCAUUUAUCUGCAUUCCUUGCAGCAUAUGAUUUCCCCCUCCCCCUCUCCCUCCCCCUCCCCCUCUCCCUCCCCCUCCCCCUCCCCCUCUCCCGCGACCCGGGGGUGAGCACCGGGCGCACUCAGACCGCCUACCUGCUUUCGAAGCAUCGCCACGUGUAGGCGGCUGCCGUACCGCUGCCACAGAGCAUG